AAAACGACUCUCGGCAACGGAUAUCUCGACUCUCGCAUCGAUGAAGAACGUAGCGAAAUGCGAUACUUGGUGUGAAUUGCAGAAUCCCGUGAACCAUCGAGUCUUUGAACGCAAGUUGCGCCCUAAGCCUUCUGGCCGAGGGCACGUCUGCCUGGGUGUCACAAA
RNAcentral lists this ribosomal RNA (165 nucleotides) under Alyssum flexicaule. RNAcentral's name for it is "5.8S ribosomal RNA". It matches the Rfam family "5.8S ribosomal RNA". From Rfam's summary of the family: 5.8S ribosomal RNA (5.8S rRNA) is a component of the large subunit of the eukaryotic ribosome. It is transcribed by RNA polymerase I as part of the 45S precursor that also contains 18S and 28S rRNA. Lineage: Eukaryota; Viridiplantae; Streptophyta; Magnoliopsida; Brassicales; Brassicaceae. The record is from RNAcentral.